UUUUUUGCACCAGGAAAAAUCACUGGCGUAGGGUCCACUGUGGAGCUUGCUAACUUUUUACUUUGCCAAGAAGUGCACUGACAAUGAGGAAACCCACCCAGAGAGGCUGAUUCCUCCAAAUCACAGAGGUCACAAGUAACAGAGCCAGGGAAGAAGGGGCGCCUGAGGGUGAAGGAAAGAACAGCAAGGAUGUGAGAGGCCCAAAGACCGCAGAGAAGAGACUUGCACC
Molecule: long non-coding RNA, 229 nt
Organism: Mirounga angustirostris (Northern elephant seal)
Lineage: Eukaryota; Metazoa; Chordata; Mammalia; Carnivora; Phocidae
Exons: 3
Source: RefSeq, a predicted model, not a curated record